This 72-nucleotide transfer RNA is filed under the name Candidatus Naiadarchaeum limnaeum. Its description in RNAcentral is "tRNA-Met". It matches the Rfam family "tRNA". Rfam says of the family: Transfer RNA (tRNA) molecules are approximately 80 nucleotides in length. Lineage: Archaea; Nanobdellati; Candidatus Undinarchaeota; Candidatus Undinarchaeia; Candidatus Naiadarchaeales; Candidatus Naiadarchaeaceae. The record is from RNAcentral.
GCCGACGUAGCUCAGUGGUAGAGCGCUAGACUCAUAAUCUAGAGGUCGCGUGUUCGAUCCACGCCGUCGGCA